GAUGAACGCUGGCGGCGUGCCUAAUACAUGCAAGUCGAGCGAACGGACGAGAAGCUUGCUUCUCUGAUGUUAGCGGCGGACGGGUGAGUAACACGUGGAUAACCUACCUAUAAGACUGGGAUAACUUCGGGAAACCGGAGCUAAUACCGGAUAAUAUUUUGAACCGCAUGGUUCAAAAGUGAAAGACGGUCUUGCUGUCACUUAUAGAUGGAUCCGCGCUGCAUUAGCUAGUUGGUAAGGUAACGGGUUACCAAGGCAACGAUGCAUAGCCGACCUGAGAGGGUGAUCGGCCACACUGGAACUGAGACACGGUCCAGACUCCUACGGGAGGCAGCAGUAGGGAAUCUUCCGCAAUGGGCGAAAGCCUGACGGAGCAACGCCGCGUGAGUGAUGAAGGUCUUCGGAUCGUAAAACUCUGUUAUUAGGGAAGAACAUAUGUGUAAGUAACUGUGCACAUCUUGACGGUACCUAAUCAGAAAGCCACGGCUAACUACGUG
Molecule: ribosomal RNA, 497 nt
Filed under: uncultured bacterium
Lineage: Bacteria
Description: partial 16S ribosomal RNA
Rfam family: Bacterial small subunit ribosomal RNA
Source: RNAcentral